Molecule: ribosomal RNA, 468 nt
Filed under: uncultured bacterium
Lineage: Bacteria
Description: partial 16S ribosomal RNA
Rfam family: Bacterial small subunit ribosomal RNA
Source: RNAcentral
GACGAACGCUGGCGGCGUGCUUAACACAUGCAAGUCGAACGGAAAGGCCCUGCUUUUGUGGGGUGCUCGAGUGGCGAACGGGUGAGUAACACGUGAGUAACCUGCCCUUGACUUUGGGAUAACUUCAGGAAACUGGGGCUAAUACCGGAUAGGAGCUCCUGCUGCAUGGUGGGGGUUGGAAAGUUUCGGCGGUUGGGGAUGGACUCGCGGCUUAUCAGCUUGUUGGUGGGGUAGUGGCUUACCAAGGCUUUGACGGGUAGCCGGCCUGAGAGGGUGACCGGGCACAUUGGGACUGAGAUACGGCCCAGACUCCUACGGGAGGCAGCGGUGGGGAAUAUUGCACAAUGGGCGGGAGCCUGAUGCAGAGACGCCGCGUGCGGGAUGACGGCCUUCGGGUUGUAAACCGCUUUGGCCUGUGACGAAGCGUGAGUGACGGUAAUGGGUAAAGAAGCACCGGCUAACUACGUG